Long non-coding RNA from Vidua chalybeata, 413 nucleotides. RefSeq lists it as uncharacterized. The transcript is spliced from 3 exons. Lineage: Eukaryota; Metazoa; Chordata; Aves; Passeriformes; Viduidae. The record is from RefSeq and is a predicted model, not a curated record.
GUGAGAGCCAUGCACAGCUCUGUAAGAGGCUGUGCUGGUGGCACCAGCCCUGAGCUGAGGAAAGGGGCCCUCAGCGCUCCGUAUCACUGAAGGAUGAAGAAUAAUUCACUCUUCAUUGCAGGGGUGAGACCUUUGAGCCACAGCUUCCGUGUAAUGAAUCACAGUGCCAGUGCUCCAUCCUGCAGAAGAAACACAGAUCAGAGGGAACAAGAGGGUUUGCUGUUUCCUGGGUACCGGGGCUGUGUGAAACAUUGAAAUUCCACCCUGAGCAGCAGUGAGCAGCAGAACCUGUUUCCAUAGCACUGCCAUGGAAACAGCACUCUGCGAAUCUGUGCCUUCAGGCCCCUCUGCGGCUGAAGCAUCUCAGUGCUCCUCCCCAGCACCCACCUCCACACUAAAAGCCCCCAGACCUC